GACGAACGCUGGCGGCGCGCUUAACACAUGCAAGUCGAACGGAAAGGCCUGCUUUCCCUUGUGGAUUGCGGGUACUCGAGUGGCGAACGGGUGAGUAACACGUGAGUGAUCUGCCCCCAACUUGGGUAUAAGCCUGGGAAACUGGGUCUAAUUCCCGAUAGGACUGCAGGGUGGUGCCUGUGGUGGAACACGAUUUUCUAGUGGUUGGGGAUGAGCUCGCGGCCUAUCAGCUUGUUGGUGGGGUAAUGGCCUACCAAGGCGGGGACGGGUAGCCGGCCGGAGAGGGUGCACGGCCACAUUGGGACUGGGAUACGGCCCAGACGCCUACGGGAGGCAGCAGUGGGGAAUAUAACACAAGGGGCGGAAGCCUGAUGCAGCGACGCCGCGUGGGGGAUGACGGCCUUCGGGUGGUAAACUCCUUUCGACCGAGAGGAAGCCACCUGGUUGGAAGGGUGGUGACGGUAGUGGUAGAAGAAGCACCGGCUAACUACGUG
RNAcentral lists this ribosomal RNA (494 nucleotides) under uncultured bacterium. RNAcentral describes it as "partial 16S ribosomal RNA". It matches the Rfam family "Bacterial small subunit ribosomal RNA", at positions 28 to 507 of the family's 1533-position model. The record is from RNAcentral.